GACGAACGCUGGCGGCGUGCUUAACACAUGCAAGUCGAACGGAAAGGCCCUGCUUUUGUGGGGUGCUCGAGUGGCGAACGGGUGAGUAACACGUGAGUAACCUGCCCUUGACUUUGGGAUAACUUCAGGAAACUGGGGCUAAUACCGGAUAGGAGCUCCUGCUGCAUGGUGGGGGUUGGAAAGUUUCGGCGGUUGGGGAUGGACUCGCGGCUUAUCAGCUUGUUGGUGGGGUAGUGGCUUACCAAGGCUUUGACGGGUAGCCGGCCUGAGAGGGUGACCGGCCACAUUGGGACUGAGAUACGGCCCAGACUCCUACGGUAGGCAGCAGUGGGGAAUAUUGCACAAUGGGCGGAAGCCUGAUGCAGCAACGCCGCGUGCGGGAUGACGGCCUGCGGGUUGUAAACCGCUUUCGCCUGUGACGAAGCGUGAGUGACGGUAAUGGGUAAAGAAGCACCGGCUAACUACGUG
RNAcentral lists this ribosomal RNA (468 nucleotides) under uncultured bacterium. RNAcentral's name for it is "partial 16S ribosomal RNA". It matches the Rfam family "Bacterial small subunit ribosomal RNA", at positions 28 to 507 of the family's 1533-position model. The record is from RNAcentral.